CGUCUCAGUUCGGAUUGUAGUCUGCAACUCGACUACAUGAAGCUGGAAUCGCUAGUAAUCGCGAAUCAGAAUGUCGCGGUGAAUACGUUCCCGGGUCUUGUACACACCGCCCGUCACACCAUGGGAGUUGGGAAUGCCCGAAGCCGGUGACCUAACCGAAAGGGAGGAGCCGUCGAAGGCAGGCUUGAUAACUGGGGUGAAGUCGUAACAAGGUACC
This 217-nucleotide ribosomal RNA is filed under the name uncultured bacterium. RNAcentral describes it as "partial 16S ribosomal RNA". It matches the Rfam family "Bacterial small subunit ribosomal RNA", at positions 1284 to 1500 of the family's 1533-position model. The record is from RNAcentral.